RNAcentral lists this ribosomal RNA (586 nucleotides) under uncultured bacterium. RNAcentral's name for it is "partial 16S ribosomal RNA". It matches the Rfam family "Bacterial small subunit ribosomal RNA", at positions 355 to 1375 of the family's 1533-position model. The record is from RNAcentral.
UGGGGAAUUUUGGACAAUGGGCGAAAGCCUGAUCCAGCAAUGCCGCGUGUGUGAAGAAGGCCUUCGGGUUGUAAAGCACUUUUGUCCGGAAAGAAAUCCUUGGCUCUAAUACAGUCGGGGGAUGACGGUACCGGAAGAAUAAGCACCGGCUAACUACGUGCCAGCAGCCGCGGUAAUACGUAGGGUGCAAGCGUUAAUCGGAAUUACUGGGCGUAAAGCGUGCGCAGGCGGUUUGCUAAGACCGAUGUGAAAUCCCCGGGCUCAACCUGGGGACUGCAUUGGUGACUGGCAGGCUAGAGUAUGGCAGAGGGGGGUAGAAUUCCACGUGUAGCAGUGAAAUGCGUAGAGAUGUGGAGGAAUACCGAUGGCGAAGGCAGCCCCCUGGGCCAAUACUGACGCUCAUGCACGAAAGCGUGGGGAGCAAACAGGAUUAGAUACCCUGGUAGUCCACGCCCUAAACGAUGUCAACUAGUUGUUGGGGAUUCAUUUUCCUUAGUAACGUAGCUAACGCGUGAAGUUGACCGCCUGGGGAGUACGGUCGCAAGAUUAAAACUCAAAUGAAUUGACGGGGUCAUAGCUGUUUCCU